UUUUAUCUGGGUUGCUAACUCAAUGGUAGAGUACUCGG
RNAcentral lists this transfer RNA (38 nucleotides) under Aegilops bicornis. RNAcentral's name for it is "partial tRNA-Lys". Lineage: Eukaryota; Viridiplantae; Streptophyta; Magnoliopsida; Poales; Poaceae. RNAcentral also lists the same sequence under 19 other names. The record is from RNAcentral.